GAUUCACCCUCACCCUCACCCAUCUUAACCGAUUCACCCUCACCCAUUCUCAAGGGUUUUUAGGUUUGGGUUCAGAUUUUGUAAAAAUGAAGCUCCGUCGGUGUUGGGGGAUUCAGCUUCGUCGGUGUUGGUGCUGACUGUAAGAGUUUUUGUUGUUGAUUUAGCAUCUUUGAGACCGUAAGCUCGAGUUCAUCUUCAGAAAGUUUGCUCGGUUCAUCUUCAAUUACUAGGAUGGUUAGGCAAGAAGACUAUGACCAAUAUGGUGAUUUCUUACAAGCUGAUUCUGAUUUUG
Quercus lobata is the source of this 292-nucleotide long non-coding RNA. RefSeq lists it as uncharacterized. The record is from RefSeq and is a predicted model, not a curated record. Lineage: Eukaryota; Viridiplantae; Streptophyta; Magnoliopsida; Fagales; Fagaceae. The transcript has 3 exons.